RNAcentral lists this long non-coding RNA (548 nucleotides) under Homo sapiens (human). RNAcentral describes it as "HSALNT0174659". The record is from RNAcentral. Lineage: Eukaryota; Metazoa; Chordata; Mammalia; Primates; Hominidae.
CGGAGAGGGGCUGAGGCCAGGCCUGCGGUGGGAGGGUUGGAUGUCGGCCUGGCUGCCCCUGCUGGAUUUCCGCCCUGAGCAGUGGAGGGGAAACCAGGCCGGGCCCCACAGGGCAGUGUGGCUAGGGGUCAGGCACAGAGGGGCGUGAGGCCUGGCCUCCUUCCUUAGGUUGGCUGGCCCCGAAGGACGCCUGGGUGGAGGGUGCUGGCAUCUCCCAGUGACCCCCUGUACCGGCCCCACCCUUGGCUCUUGGUCUGUGUUUAUACCUUGGCGCCUUCGCAGCUCCGCUUGCUUUUUCCAGCUGCCUUGCUUUUCCCCACACAGGUCCUUCUGCCUGGAGUGCCCGGUGCCUUGCAGAGCUCCCACCCUUCCUUGUUGCCUUGGCGCCUGUGCCACCGCUGUUGGAAGGCUUCCUUUGACACUCCUGCUCCAUCCUGGCAGUGCGGGGCUCCCUCAUCAGGGCCCUGCUUUUCUCCUUGUCCAUCAAGGCAGGGAUCCCCCUUAUUCUUCGUCUUUAACCUGUGAUAUUAACUAAACCAUUUAUUGCG